Molecule: long non-coding RNA, 966 nt
Organism: Dicentrarchus labrax (European seabass)
Lineage: Eukaryota; Metazoa; Chordata; Actinopteri; Moronidae
Exons: 3
Source: RefSeq, a predicted model, not a curated record
AAUAUUUAACGACAUGUCCUUCCUGUUUAACCUCACCCAUCCUGCCUCUCCUUCAAAGCACAGACUUCCACCUUCAGAUCUGACUGAAGGAUCUGCUCAUUAACUCGCAGGAAGACCAUUAGAAACGGCUGGAAAGUUACCAUUAACGCACAGAUGAUCCCUGAGGUGCCGAGCGCUCCGCAGCUGAAGGAAUAUAUGCAUCAAAAUUAUCUAUUAAUUAUGUGAAGGCUAUAUUUCCAUUUAAAUCAUGAAAGAUUAGAUGUGUUGAUUGGACUGUUAAGAGCAGGAGAAGAGGGAAGGAACAAAACUGUGGGAUUAAAAAGAAAGAUGAGGCUCAUGAAGAUGGAAAACAUACAAACGUCAUAUUUCCUGGGUGCUCAGGACUGCAGGUAUAUCACAAGAUCUUGACCAAAAAAACCCACUGCAAGCUUCAACUGAUCCCAAAGGUGCUGGACUGUGUGGAGGUAACCUUGCAAGGCAGAUGGACUGUGUGGAGAUCACACUAGAAUCCAAAGCGGAAGUUGAACACUACAGACGGCGACACAGAAACUCCAUGUCCAAAAAAUGACACGAAGGCUACGGCCGCAGUCAGAUCGCAUCGUAACACCUCAAUUCCUCCACGUGUGAUGGAAGGAAGUUGUCGGAGCUUCAGAAAUGCAAGCAGAACAAGAAGAAGAAGACAAAAAGGGAGAAAAAAUACAAGGUCCAAAUAUAGCUUUUUGUUCACAUGGAAACCACCCGAACAAGACGGAGAGGAGAGGAAGCCACAGUGAGAGCGAGGAAGAAAGGAGUGGCAAGGAGAAUAAAAGAGAUAAAGAGAGAAGAAGAGAAAGAAAGAGGAAGAUCUGUUUAAUAUUGUGAUGUUUGUAGUUUUAUCUGUUUGAUUUUGAUUUGUUUCAUCUGAAACUUUCUAAGCGGCUAUCUUCGCCGUUGACACUCUGAUACACUGUAAAAAAUGUUUUAUGG